RNAcentral lists this ribosomal RNA (252 nucleotides) under uncultured bacterium. RNAcentral's name for it is "partial 16S ribosomal RNA". It matches the Rfam family "Bacterial small subunit ribosomal RNA", at positions 524 to 776 of the family's 1533-position model. The record is from RNAcentral.
UACGGAGGAUGCGAGCGUUAUCCGGAUUUAUUGGGUUUAAAGGGUGCGUAGGCGGGCUUUUAAGUCAGCGGUAAAAAUUCGGGGCUCAACCCCGUCCGGCCGUUGAAACUGGGGGCCUUGAGUGCAGGAGAGGAGAGUGGAAUUCCUAGUGUAGCGGUGAAAUGCGUAGAUAUUAGGAGGAACACCAGUUGCGAAGGCGGCUCUCUGGACUGUAACUGACACUGAGGCACGAAAGCGUGGGGAGCAAACAGG